UUUGAUGGCGACCGGCGCACGGGUGAGUAACACGUAUCCAACCUGCCGAUGACUCGGGGAUAGCCUUUCGAAAGAAAGAUUAAUACCCGAUGGCAUAGUUCUUCCGCAUGGUGGAACUAUUAAAGAAUUUCGGUCAUCGAUGGGGAUGCGUUCCAUUAGUUUGUUGGCGGGGUAACGGCCCACCAAGACUACGAUGGAUAGGGGUUCUGAGAGGAAGGUCCCCCACAUUGGAACUGAGACACGGUCCAAACUCCUACGGGAGGCCAGCAUG
This 271-nucleotide ribosomal RNA is filed under the name uncultured bacterium. RNAcentral describes it as "partial 16S ribosomal RNA". It matches the Rfam family "Bacterial small subunit ribosomal RNA", at positions 84 to 349 of the family's 1533-position model. The record is from RNAcentral.